Molecule: RNA transcript, 2792 nt
Organism: Portunus trituberculatus (swimming crab)
Lineage: Eukaryota; Metazoa; Arthropoda; Malacostraca; Decapoda; Portunidae
Exons: 4
Source: RefSeq, a predicted model, not a curated record
AACACUCAAAAGCACCACACACAGACACCAAGCACAAACACCACUCGCUAACUAUAAAAACCACAGCCAGAAACGGAGCGCACACACAACACGUCCACUCGCCACCACAGCUACUCUAUCUCUCCACAUCUUGAAUAACUGUACAGAUGGGCAGGGGAGUGCAUCACAAGUACAAUAAGAAAUAUGAUAAAUUAACCUCAUCAAUCAUAAUAUUCAAAAAGUAAAUUGCCGAGAUGAGGUGAUAGCUGAUUUGAAUGUCUGAAGACUGGGAUGUGUAACAACAGACUCAGGGAGGGAAUUCCAGUGGCCAGUAUUACAUAUUGUGAAUGAACGUCUCCUAAUAUCUAGGUUGGUGUGUACAUGUGCAAGCUUGUGUUGAUGGCCUCUGGUGGUGUUAGAAGUUGGGUGGAAGAAAAAGUCAUUAAAAUAUAAGAAGGAUUUUCCAUUUACAAUUUGUCACAUCUUAAUAAUGCCAUGACGUAAUAGCCUCCCUUUAACAGAAAAUAAAUUCAAAACUUUUAGGCGAUCAUAAUGGCAACCAGAUCAUAACAACCACCAGUGGCAAGUCUUGGAGAAUUAAAGCACAAUAAGUAGGACAACACUGUGGGGAAAUGGGGAGAGAACUCUUACCUCUCACUCUCUCAACAUAGUUUGUCAAGAUCAAAUCAAAUACAUUACUGGAUGAAUUUAUGAUUGGUUCAGCAAUCAACUGGGUUAAUCCCAACAAGAAUCUUUCAUCCAGCUGAGACAAAUGCAUACCAGUGAUGAAGUUUGUGGUGGAGCAUGUGAGCAGAUUGGGGAUGGCUAGGCAGGCUGGGUGGUCUCUGCAGCCAGCCUGAUAGUAUGCACACCACUCCACUCUCCCUUAUUCCCACCAAGGGAGGCAGUGCACCACAUCUCAUGCAGGACGUACUGCACCGGUGGCGAGGCGUCGAGGAAGCACCUCUUUGUGUUCCUGCCCACCACUUUACUGAACACAUGAAGGUGCUCCAGAGUUUCAAGAAGGGUGGCACACACACUUUGCUGCACUACAAGCUUUUGGAGGUCCAGCGGCACACUGCACACUUCUUUCCUAAACGUGUGUGCAGAGUGCAAGACAGAGUGGCAAGGAUGGAGGAUGCAUCAACAUUCACAGCAUCAUUGGUUCAUGCUUUUUAUUUUUUUUGUGUGUGUGUGUGUGGAAAGAAGUGCACACAGUUUUAACCGAAGGAUUAUAUGUGUGUGUGUGUGUGUGUGUGUGUGUGGGCAGCUUUAUGGGCAAGUGUGCCAGUCAUUCCUUGAAUUCAAUGUUUUUCAUUUAGGGAAAAAUUGUUGUAUAUAAUUAGGUUUAUAGACAUUUUUGAGUGGGAAUGUUUAGACUGAUUAAAUAGUAAGUUUCUCUACUUUGUAGAGCUUUGCUGUUACUGUUCUGUGUAAGGUUUCAAGGGCCGUAUUCUACAAACCAUCAUAGCUAGUGAUGUGAUUGUAGACAAAAUGGUGCAUUUUAGACACAAGUCCCUCAAUGACAGGCUCUCACCUUGUGACUCGUCAUAAGUUCAGUCUGUUGCAGCGCUGCCAACCACUGUCUUAAAACUCUUCUCAGCAUGGUGAGAGCUUGUUUUAUGUACCAUGGCAUGAUCCCCGACAGUUUUUGAUAUUAAUUAAUGAUAAAUAUCUGUAAUGAUGGCUAAAUAAUGUCCUUUGAUGGAGUAAUUUAUCAUUAUAGAUAACUGCCAAGAGGGUGCGAUCAGUUUUCCAAAAACUCAAACAAACCUUGCUCUGAGUGGCUUGCAUGUGUCAUGUGUCAUGUGUCAGGCUGUUGGGCAUAAUCUUAUGUUUGUCAUGUUUCCUUUGUUUGGAUACACAGUCUUACUAUGAUGUCAAAAUAAUUAGAAUUGUAGAAAUUAUGUCAAGGAUCUAUUUCUUUGUAUACUUAUAUAAAGUUGACAAGUGAUGAGCCCAAAGACCAGCAGUGGAGUGACGGUCAGGCAUUCAGUGAGACCUGAGGCUGACUGUGUAGAAUACGGCCCCAGAAGGACGGUCUGUGUUUUGUGUAUUUAUGGUGACAAUGUAGCGUUGCAAGGGACAACAUGCUGUUUGAGACCAAAGCCAUUGUGUAAGAAAUCAUUGUACAGAGUUGAUAGUUCCUCCUAGACUUUGCAAUGAAAUUGCUGUCAAAAUACUAUUAUGUUAUUGUAUUCAUUUUUUUAAUGUUAUAUUAGACAAAUGUAUGGAUGACCUGUUCAUACAGAGACUGCUGCCAUGUAUGUGCAGGCCUCAUGGUCCAUCUUGCAACUUUCCUAAUUUUUUUCUCUAAUACUUUGUAAGGUGAAAAUAUUCCCAGACUAAAAAAUAUAAAAUUGUCCCAAGUUAGAAAUUGCAGAAAUUAUUCUAAGUUGAAAUAUAAAAAUUGUUGUAUGUUGCAAGUUGUAAAAUUUCUGUUGAAAAUUGUUAAAAUUUUCCUAGCUGUUCAAAUUCUAGUGUUGCUUUGUAAAAAUAUCCUAGCUGUUCAAAUUCUAGUGUUGCUUUGUAAAAUGUUCUAAGUCGAAAGUUUUGGUAGAGUUUUCAUCUGAUUUGUGUAAAAUUUUCUAGUUGAAAUUUGUAGUUUCCUAGCUGUACAAAAUUUUCUAAGUCGAAAGUUUUGGUAGAGUUUUCAUCAGAUUUGUGUAAAAAUUUUCUAGUUGAAAUUUGUAGUUUUCUAGCUGUACAAAUUCUGGUGUUACACUGUAAAAUUUUUCUAAGUUGAAAGUUUUGGUGGAGUUUUCAGAGUUGUGUAAAAAUGUGUUGAUUGAAUAAAAGUGAAGGAAGGGAGA